Xenia sp. Carnegie-2017 is the source of this 657-nucleotide long non-coding RNA. RefSeq lists it as uncharacterized. The transcript is spliced from 2 exons. The record is from RefSeq and is a predicted model, not a curated record. NCBI's taxonomy places the organism in Eukaryota, Metazoa, Cnidaria, Anthozoa, Malacalcyonacea, Xeniidae.
UAGGAAGGAUAUAAUACUGCAAUUGAUACCUUAAUGAUUGGGCCAUCUUGUUAAAAGUGGGAAGAAGCUCAUCAGCAUCCGCCAUUAAUGUUGUUAUCCUCUACAAAUGAAUUCAUACGGUGUAACUGUUAUUGUAAGGAGUUAAAGAAAAUCAUGUAACCUGCAGUUUUGAGAGGUAGAAAAUCUGAGCAUUUUCCACAAAUGAUUUGACCACAAAGUCGACAGUGAUGUUUUCGUCUUGUCACAGUAAAUGAUUUUGUGCAUAGGAAACAGAACUUUGCUUCUUCAUCUGCUAUCCAAGGAACUAGACUCUGCUCUUUAACUAAAAUUUAUUUCAUUUUACAACAGUUUUUGCAUUGCAAACAUUCAUCGUUUCCCAGUUACCUUUCUUCUUUGAACUACUUAUUUGAAAAUCUUCAUUGUCUUUCAAAAUAUUUAAAAUCUAGUAAAAACAAACACUUCUAGAUGCUUUCAAGCAUGUCUUCACGAACAGAAAGCAUUAACAAAGAAUAUACCUUUUCCAAUCGAACAAGAAUUGUGUUUGUAAAUAUCAUGCAAUCAUCCACUUUCAAAUUUCGUGCUUUCCGAAACUUAUUGGUAUGAUCUUGGGUAAAACCUUGAUUGAAUAAAGAAAUAAUAAACUGCUUAGUUACUUUA